GUACAUGAGGGUGAUCUGGUUGCAACAUGUCACCCUACAGAUUGCCAGGGUUGGUGCAGCUGAGCUGGCUGAUGAGGCAGGAGUCCCCUUGCUCCUCUGCUGCUCCCCUGUGCGAGCCUCCCAAAGCUGCAGGCUGGGUCGAAGAGGACCUUCCCUGAUAGAGGAUGUAGGAGUCAAGGUCAAGGUCACCCUGUCAAGGGUGUAGGAGUAGCUGUACUCACCUUCGAGAACCCCCUCCCCCCAAACUCUCAAGGUCCUUUUGCAGGAGAAUGUAUGUAGUCAAGCUUCCAAGACUCCAGGCACAUCCAAAUGAGGCACUGCAUGUCUGCAGUCUGCCUUUCUUU
Molecule: small nuclear RNA, 344 nt
Filed under: Canis lupus dingo (dingo)
Lineage: Eukaryota; Metazoa; Chordata; Mammalia; Carnivora; Canidae
Description: 7SK RNA (ENSCAFG00020015961.1)
Rfam family: 7SK RNA
About the family: 7SK was discovered as an abundant small nuclear RNA in the mid-70s but a possible function has only recently been suggested. Two independent studies have found that 7SK RNA binds the CDK9/cyclin T complex (known as elongation factor P-TEFb).
Source: RNAcentral